This 775-nucleotide ribosomal RNA is filed under the name uncultured Neocallimastigales. Its description in RNAcentral is "partial large subunit ribosomal RNA". It matches the Rfam family "Eukaryotic large subunit ribosomal RNA", at positions 23 to 616 of the family's 3401-position model. The record is from RNAcentral. Lineage: Eukaryota; Fungi; Neocallimastigomycota; Neocallimastigomycetes; Neocallimastigales.
AGAGAGAGACAUGCGCGCAUAUCAAUAAGCGGAGGAAAAGAAACUAACAAGGAUUCCCCUAGUAACGGCGAGUGAAGCGGGAAGAGCUCAAAUUUGAAAUCUUAAAGGGUUUCCCUUUACGAAUUGUAGUUUAAAGAAGUGUUUUCUGUUGAGGUUUUGGUAAAAGUUCUUUGGAAUAGGACAUCAUAGAGGGUGAGAAUCCCGUAUUUGACCUUUACUUUCAACUUUGUGAUACACUUUCAAAGAGUCGGAUUGUUUGGGAAUGCAGUCCAAAAUGGGUGGUAAAUUUCAUCUAAAGCUAAAUAUUGGCGAGAAACCGAUAGCGAACAAGUACCGUGAGGGAAAGAUGAAAAGAACUUUGAAAAGAGAGUUAAACAGUACGUGAAAUUGUCAAAAGGGAAGCGUUUGACACCAGUGUUGUUUUUCUGAAAAUCAAUUAAAGAACUGUUUAUGCUAAGCUGUUUAGACUUUAUCAGCUAACUGUUUAGUUUUGAGCUUUUCUUUAAUGCACUUUUCAGUUAACAAGUCAACAUCAAUUUCUUUUGCUGUAAAAAAGCUUGAGGAAGGAUGGCUUGAGAUUCGUCUUAAGUGUUUAUAGCCUCUUGCCUAUGCAGUCGGAGAGAUUGAGGUCUGCAGCGUAGAUCCUUCGGGGCUAAAUGCAUUUGUGCUAAGUUAUAGCAUUUUAUAGACAACUUGUUGACUAUGAUUUGUCUUGUAGCUUACUCGCUUAUGUUAUUUUACCUACGCUUAGGAUGUUGAGCGCAUGUCUCUCUCU